Sorex araneus (European shrew) is the source of this 113-nucleotide small nucleolar RNA. RefSeq annotates it as small nucleolar RNA SNORA84. The record is from RefSeq and is a predicted model, not a curated record. The transcript has a single exon. Lineage: Eukaryota; Metazoa; Chordata; Mammalia; Eulipotyphla; Soricidae.
GGCCAGUGGCAGUAGGCAGAAGGGCAAGAUACAACUAGGGGCCGGACCAAUUCUGUGAUUUAUGCAUGGAUACUGUCUUUCCUCAGCAGUUUCCAUAGCUCACUGAUACAUGG